Molecule: long non-coding RNA, 498 nt
Filed under: Lupinus mutabilis
Lineage: Eukaryota; Viridiplantae; Streptophyta; Magnoliopsida; Fabales; Fabaceae
Description: partial ncRNA
Source: RNAcentral
ACCUGAAAAUAGACAAACAAAAGAUAAACCUUUGUCAAGGCUUUGUUAGCAUAGUUUGUCAUUGAAUUAAAAUUAAGAAUUUAGAGUACAAAUAAACUCCCCCUUUCUUAUUGCCCCCCUAUCAUUAGGCUCCCCCUAAAUAUAUGCUCCCUUCAAAUUUUGGAGAUACAUAUUUUAUCAUGCCUUUAUAUGAUAAUACUUCUCAAGAAGUUGUACAAGAUACCACUUGUGAUGAUACCACUUGUAACUUGUGAUGAUACCACUUGUAAGAUUAAACUUCUCUUGAAGAUACAAAAUUCUCCUCCUUUGUCAUUAUCAAAAACAAAGAAAUACAUGGGGAAAUGCAGAUUUGGGGUAUAUGGGGCAAAGCAAUUUGGGGUUUGUAAACAUUCUCCCCUUUUAAAAAAAUCUCCCCCUUUUAUAAGAGAUUUGGGGUAUUUGAAAUGAUCUCCCCCUUUGUGAAAAAUACUCCCCUUUUUAAAAGAAAAUAUUCUCUCC